AUGCCCUCCUGCCGCGGCCCCCGGCCGGGCGCUCCGCCGCCGCCCUCUACCUCAUCCCCCCCCCGGAGCCGGGGGCUGCUUUGGGUUCAGCCCUCCCGAGCGGACACAGCACCCACGGACCGGUCUGCCACUCCGGUAUUUGCUUUCAAACACAACUCAGUUGAUGCCUCCCCUCCUACAGCAAAUUGAGGGACAAACUCAAUGUGGAAGAGAUGCUAAAUAGAUUAAAGAAAUGCCAAGAAAAAGAAAAAGAAAAAGAAACUUUCCUAAAGAUAAUACGGGAGACACAUCCGCUCUGGGUUGUAAUUCCUCACCUGCUGUUGAUGGAUUUCUUCAAACUGCAAGACAGGCCGAUGAAAUGGGCCAGCAUGUGGGCUGCCAUGUUUCUCCAAGUACCCUUGGGCUAGGGCCUCCAAAGCCACUUGGGCUGGUGCUGAUGCUUUGAUGGAGCAUAAGGUUUGGUGGCACAGGUCCAUGGCGUGGAGGGUCCAUGGAAUGGGGCACAGCUGGUGAGUACAUGAAGGUGAGGGAAGGGCACAGGCAGCAUUAAGAGCAUUCCCUUGACCUCCUGCCUCUAAACCUAGCCCUUCUCAGGUUACCAAUAGGACUGGUUGUGUGGGGUCAGGCCAAGCAUCCACUUAGAAUUCUGACCCCAAGGGAUGCCUGCUCCCAGGAUGCUGGUAAAAGGGAAUAAUGUGGUUGAGAGGGCAGAUUUGUGAAUUGAUCCCAAUGGGACACUCUGAUUGUGACAAGACAGCAUGGAAAAAAUCCCAGCUGGGCAACCAAGGAGCCCAGCACACAGCUUCCCAUCUGCACACUGAGCAAGACAAGAAACAUGGCACCACCUUAUACAGAGAGUGGACUUGCACAGCUCUGUAACUGCUUUUACCAACGGGUUUUGGAGAUCACCCCAAAGUGCUGGUCGUUCUACUUGGCUGCUCAGGUGAGACCCUUCAGACCCCAGGAACUGAGAUGAGAUUUGUCAGAGCCACUGGGCUGAGCCACUUGGGUCUACAGAUAAAUUGUCAUAGUUAAAGAUGCAAGUGUGUUUUAUGAAGAAAGCAAUGUUUUGUGAGAGCCGAAUCAUCAACUGCUCUAUGUGAGGUAAUUAAGAUCUGGCAGUAACUUAGAUAUAUUCAGAGAAGAGUUACGUGCAGAUGGAAAGAUGGACUGGGAUUUUAUGGUCAUGAAAACUGUAUUUUUUUCUUAUUAAAAAAUGACACUUCUCCCCACAUAUACACUUAUUCCCUUAGAAUAAGCUUUGAUCUAAAAAGUUGCAAAGAAACAAAAUGGCCCAUCAUAUGCAUAAGAGUAAAUUUUAUAUGAACACUAUGGUCUGGCAGAGAAGAGAAAGUGAAGAAAUGGUGUUCAGAGUCCUGUCAACCAAAUGUGAUCCUGCACAGGGUGCUUGGAGGCCCCAUUGCUCUCCAGUUCCUCAGGGGCUGUAGUUUCAGGGGAAGCUCUGGCUUCUCUCGGUAGACCCAACGAAAGAUAUUAUAUUCCAACAAGAUUUUUUUGCUUCCCCCUAAUGCCCACAGCACACCAUCUCCACCCUCCCAGAAGGUGCUUUGCUAUUUGGAUGAAGAAUAUGGUAUAAAAACCCUAGGUGAGAUCAGGUUGCCUUUUUUUCUGGAAGAGCUAUGAUCCUUCUGCUUUCUUCGAAUGGAUCUCAUUCUUCUUUCUCACAUCCCUUUGCAUCACCGUGAGCAAUUUGUUUUAUGCCCUAUACUUUUUUCCCUCUUAAACAUUUGCAGGCGGUUUCCUUACACAGUGCUUAGUCUAGCUACGAGUAGUUAAAGUUUCCAAAUGUUCUCCAUAAACACAUCCUUCCUCAGGCCCCUUAUCCUUUAUAUCACUCAGCAUGGGUUUCUUGGAGUUGGCCUGACACUGAUAUAUGAAGGUUUUGAUUUUGCCUUCCUUUUACAUCUGGCUAAUACAACAAUAAUCCCCUUGGAGCCACUGGAAUCAUUGUAAGUGAGAAAAAAACUGAUCAAGCCAACAGACUCAUCUGUGAGCAACUGCAUCUUCCAGGUAUCUGAGCUGAAGACAUUGAACACGCAUCCCUGAACCUAAAUCAUAAACUCACAGAAUCAUUAAGGUUGAAAAAGACCUCCAAGAUCAUCUAGUCCAACCCCACCCCACCCCCACCAUGCUGACUAACCCAUGUCCCUCGGUGCCACAUCUCCACCGUUCUUGAACACCUCCAAGGGACGGUGACUUCACCACUUCCAUGGGCAGCCUGUUCCAAUAAAUAUCUCAUCUAGGGAUGUGACUGUGGUUUUGGAGGCCUAAAUCUCCUUUCAUUGCUUCUUCACACCAUCCUCCUGUGCAAAGACGUUUGACUGUAACCACUCAUGCUGGGUUUGUGUCCUCCAGAUGUAGCAAACACAAUGAGAGAGAUGAAAAAAUAAAUAGAAAUAAACAAAAAUUUUAAAAGCC
This is a long non-coding RNA of Numida meleagris (helmeted guineafowl), 2439 nucleotides long. RefSeq lists it as uncharacterized. NCBI's taxonomy places the organism in Eukaryota, Metazoa, Chordata, Aves, Galliformes, Numididae. The transcript has 3 exons. The record is from RefSeq and is a predicted model, not a curated record.